AUUGAACGCUGGCGGCAGGCCUAACACAUGCAAGUCGAGCGGAUGAAGGGAGCUUGCUCCUGGGUUCAGCGGCGGACGGGUGAGUAAUGCCUAGGAAUCUGCCUGGUAGUGGGGGAUAACGUCCGGAAACGGGCGCUAAUACCGCAUACGUCCUGAGGGAGAAAGUGGGGGAUCUUCGGACCUCACGCUAUCAGAUGAGCCUAGGUCGGAUUAGCUAGUUGGUGGGGUAAAGGCCUACCAAGGCGACGAUCCGUAACUGGUCUGAGAGGAUGAUCAGUCACACUGGAACUGAGACACGGUCCAGACUCCUACGGGAGGCAGCAGUGGGGAAUAUUGGACAAUGGGCGAAAGCCUGAUCCAGCCAUGCCGCGUGUGUGAAGAAGGUCUUCGGAUUGUAAAGCACUUUAAGUUGGGAGGAAGGGCAGUAAGUUAAUACCUUGCUAUUUUGACGUUACCAACAGAAUAAGCACCGGCUAACUUCGUG
RNAcentral lists this ribosomal RNA (484 nucleotides) under uncultured bacterium. RNAcentral describes it as "partial 16S ribosomal RNA". It matches the Rfam family "Bacterial small subunit ribosomal RNA", at positions 30 to 507 of the family's 1533-position model. The record is from RNAcentral.